AAAGCGUGCGCAGGCGGUUAUACAAGACAGGCGUGAAAUCCCCGGGCUUAACCUGGGAAUGGCGCCUGUGACUGUAUAGCUAGAGUGUGUCAGAGGGGGGUAGAAUUCCACGUGUAGCAGUGAAAUGCGUAGAUAUGUGGAGGAAUACCAAUGGCGAAGGCAGCCCCCUGGGAUAACACUGACGCUCAUGCACGAAAGCGUGGGGAGCAAACAGGAUUAGAUACCCUGGU
RNAcentral lists this ribosomal RNA (230 nucleotides) under uncultured bacterium. RNAcentral describes it as "partial 16S ribosomal RNA". It matches the Rfam family "Bacterial small subunit ribosomal RNA", at positions 562 to 791 of the family's 1533-position model. The record is from RNAcentral.